RNAcentral lists this ribosomal RNA (392 nucleotides) under uncultured bacterium. RNAcentral's name for it is "bacterial SSU rRNA". It matches the Rfam family "Bacterial small subunit ribosomal RNA", at positions 29 to 449 of the family's 1533-position model. The record is from RNAcentral.
AACGAACGCUGGCGGCAGGCCUAACACAUGCAAGUCGAACGCCCCGCAAGGGGAGUGGCAGACGGGUGAGUAACGCGUGGGAACCUACCCUAAGGUGCGGAAUAGCCCAGGGAAACUUGGAGUAAUACCGCAUAAGCCCGCAAGGGGAAAGAUUUAUCGCCUUUGGAUGGGCCCGCGUCUGAUUAGCUAGUUGGUGAGGUAAUGGCUCACCAAGGCGACGAUCAGUAGCUGGUCUUAGAGGAUGAUCAGCCACACUGGGACUGAGACACGGCCCAGACUCCUACGGGAGGCAGCAGUGGGGAAUAUUGGACAAAUGGGCGCAAGCCUGAUCCAGCCAUGCCGCGUGAGUGACGAAGGCCUUAGGGUUGUAAAGCUCUUUGGUCGGGGACGGA